RNAcentral lists this microRNA precursor (56 nucleotides) under Schmidtea mediterranea. Lineage: Eukaryota; Metazoa; Platyhelminthes; Tricladida; Dugesiidae. The record is from RNAcentral.
AGAUCGUGUCGUUCUAGAUUACAUGGAUAUAUGUGACUAGAAUGUUCACCUUCUUU